Long non-coding RNA from Onychostoma macrolepis, 762 nucleotides. RefSeq lists it as uncharacterized. The transcript is spliced from 4 exons. Lineage: Eukaryota; Metazoa; Chordata; Actinopteri; Cypriniformes; Cyprinidae. The record is from RefSeq and is a predicted model, not a curated record.
CUACCAUCGGCCCGAGUUGGUUUUGUCUCCGGCGGCCGCUGCUAGAAUGAAAGCCGCCUGAGAGAGAGAUUUGGCGGUUAAUCCUGAGGAGAUUUCGGCGGGCACAGUUCUCAAGAGGAAUACUUCAGCUGCAAAAAGAAAUUCUGAGCUGCUGCAUGAACAUUCAUCAAACUUAUAAGGCUGCAAUUUGGAAAAAACUUUCAAGCUAAUGCUGCUGAAAUGGAGGUCAAGGGGACUGAAGAGGUGGCUCCAGCAGAUCAGAAGGGAGGACUUCAGGAGGCAGACACACUGUUACAGUAAUCAGCUGAUCCAGCCGUAUCCAGACCAGAUGGUGGACCUGCACCAGGAGCGACCACAACACAUCCCUGACUGUCAGCGGAGACCAUGUCAGCUGGAUGACAGAUCCCUGUGAAGACCUCACUGAUGACCCCAGCACAGAUCCUCAGCAAAGACUACGAGAACCAGACAAGCCCUCUGCGCAGACCCUUUCUACCAGCUUCACCUGCUGGCGUGAUGUUUCUUCAAGCAGAAGAAGUUGGAUGAAAUAUUCUGAAUGAUAUCAAUCCACAAUCUGACUUGUGAUGCAGCCUGGAAUAAUCAAACCACAUUCACUCGUUUGGCCAGACGAGACUGUUUCCUGACUGAGCCCGGUCUUGUUUGGGUUCCUUGUCACUGUUGCCUUUUGUCUUGCUUGGUUGAAGACUCCUAAUAUUCAGCAAUAUUACUGACUUGACUGCACUGACACCAUUUGAUAAGAACUGA